Molecule: ribosomal RNA, 1016 nt
Filed under: uncultured bacterium
Lineage: Bacteria
Description: bacterial SSU rRNA
Rfam family: Bacterial small subunit ribosomal RNA
Source: RNAcentral
AGGAAUAUUGGUCAAUGGGCGAGAGCCUGAACCAGCCAAGUAGCGUGAAGGAUGACUGCCCUAUGGGUUGUAAACUUCUUUUAUAAAGGAAUAAAGUCGGGUAUGGAUACCCGUUUGCAUGUACUUUAUGAAUAAGGAUCGGCUAACUCCGUGCCAGCAGCCGCGGUAAUACGGAGGAUCCGAGCGUUAUCCGGAUUUAUUGGGUUUAAAGGGAGCGUAGAUGGAUGUUUAAGUCAGUUGUGAAAGUUUGCGGCUCAACCGUAAAAUUGCAGUUGAUACUGGAUAUCUUGAGUGCAGUUGAGGCAGGCGGAAUUCGUGGUGUAGCGGUGAAAUGCUUAGAUAUCACGAAGAACUCCGAUUGCGAAGGCAGCCUGCUAAGCUGCAACUGACAUUGAGGCUCGAAAGUGUGGGUAUCAAACAGGAUUAGAUACCCUGGUAGUCCACACGGUAAACGAUGAAUACUCGCUGUUUGCGAUAUACAGCAAGCGGCCAAGCGAAAGCGUUAAGUAUUCCACCUGGGGAGUACGCCGGCAACGGUGAAACUCAAAGGAAUUGACGGGGGCCCGCACAAGCGGAGGAACAUGUGGUUUAAUUCGAUGAUACGCGAGGAACCUUACCCGGGCUUAAAUUGCAGAUGAAUUACGGUGAAAGCCGUAAGCCGCAAGGCAUCUGUGAAGGUGCUGCAUGGUUGUCGUCAGCUCGUGCCGUGAGGUGUCGGCUUAAGUGCCAUAACGAGCGCAACCCUUGUUGUCAGUUACUAACAGGUUCCGCUGAGGACUCUGACAAGACUGCCAUCGUAAGAUGUGAGGAAGGUGGGGAUGACGUCAAAUCAGCACGGCCCUUACGUCCGGGGCUACACACGUGUUACAAUGGGGGGUACAGAGGGCCGCUACCACGCGAGUGGAUGCCAAUCCCAAAAACCUCUCUCAGUUCGGACUGGAGUCUGCAACCCGACUCCACGAAGCUGGAUUCGCUAGUAAUCGCGCAUCAGCCACGGCGCGGUGAAUACGUUCCCG